CGCGUGAGGGAUGACGGCCUUCGGGUUGUAAACCUCUUUUGGCAGGGAAGAAGCGAAAGUGACCGUACCUGCAGAAAAAGCACCGGCUAACUACGUGCCAGCAGCCGCGGUAAUACGUAGGGUGCAAGCGUUAUCCGGAAUUAUUGGGCGUAAAGAGCUCGUAGGCGGUUUGUCGCGUCUGCUGUGAAAACCCGAGGCUCAACCUCGGGCCUGCAGUGGGUACGGGCAGACUACAGUGCGGUAGGGGAGAUUGGAAUUCCUGGUGUAGCGGUGGAAUGCGCAUAUAUCAGGAAGAACACCGAUGGCCAAGGCAGAUCUCUGGGCCGGAACUGACGCUGAGGAGCGAAGGGGUGGGGAGCAAACAGGCUUACAUGCCCUGGUAGUCCACCCCGUAAACGUUGGGAACUAGUUGGGGGGUCCAUUCCACGGAUUCCGUGACGCAUCUAACGCAUUAGCCUCCCCGCCUGGGGAGUACGGCCGCAAGGCUAAAACUCAGAGGAAUUGACGGGGACCCGCACAAGCGGCGGAGCAUGCGGAUUAAUUCGAUGCAACGCGUACAACCUUACCAAGGCUUGACAUA
This 580-nucleotide ribosomal RNA is filed under the name Microbacteriaceae bacterium So1Ps_684. RNAcentral describes it as "bacterial SSU rRNA". It matches the Rfam family "Bacterial small subunit ribosomal RNA", at positions 398 to 988 of the family's 1533-position model. Lineage: Bacteria; Bacillati; Actinomycetota; Actinomycetes; Micrococcales; Microbacteriaceae. The record is from RNAcentral.